Molecule: ribosomal RNA, 2125 nt
Filed under: Triticum aestivum (bread wheat)
Lineage: Eukaryota; Viridiplantae; Streptophyta; Magnoliopsida; Poales; Poaceae
Description: partial small subunit ribosomal RNA
Source: RNAcentral
CUCCGCGCUGCUGCCAAUUGCCGAACUCGCCACGAGCCCACCGCUCCACCUCACCCUCGCCAUCCACUCCACCACCAGCUGCUCCAGCCGCGGCGCCUUUUGUUUACCGGCCGCUGCUCAUAAUUGCGUGCCCGCGUCGUUGCUUUUCCCUCCCGCCCCCGGCCCCGGCCGCCUACCCCCACCCCCUCCCUCCGCCUCUCUUAUAUCACUCGCCACCGCCGCCCAGCUCGCCCGCUACUGCUCCUAGCUCGCUCCUNNNNNNNCUGUAAAGCACCACCGUGGUACACCUACGCGGUGUGUGCGUGUGUGUCGUCUCUGUUCGGUCGCUCCGGCGAGAUGAAGCUCCCGCUGUCGGCGGGGUCGCCCGACGCGGCGCCGGAGAUGGCCAAGCCGUCGCUGCCGGCGACGUGGCUCAUCCUGCACGCGCUCUUCUGCGCCACCUCCAUGGCCGUCGGCUUCCGCUUCUCGCGCCUCGUCGUCUUCCUCCUCUUCCUGCCCACGCCGCCCAUGAACCCCUCCGCGCACCUCGUCUCCCUCGUCACCCCGCCCGUCAUGCUCGCCAGCUCCAACGCCACCGCCACCAUCACUACUACUACUACGACCACCACCACCGUCACGACGACGACCACGGUGGCUGAGAGCGAGGCCGGAUCCAACGCGCACCACCAGGUCCACCACGGCCCGGUCUUCGUCGGCCGCCACGCCAUCCGCGUCCGCAAGUGGCCGCACCCGAACCCCGGCGAGCUCCUCAAGGCCCACAGCAUCCUCGCCGCCGUCCAGGAAGCGCAGCGCCGCAGCCGCAACCGCCUGGCCGACCCGCUCAGGCCCGUGAUUGCCGUCACCCCGACCACCACCUCCGCGCUCCAGGCGCCGUCGCUCACGUCCCUGGCGCACACCCUCCGCCUCGUCGACGCCCCGCUCAGGUGGAUCGUCGUCGAGCCUGGCCACCGCACCGACGCCGUCGCCGCCGUGCUCGCCCGCUCCGGCCUCGACUUCCUCCACCUCGUCGCCUCCGACGGCGCCUCCACCGCGCGCCUGCGAAUGCACGCCCUCAGGGAGGUACGGAAGGAGAAGAUGGACGGCGUGGUGGUGUUCGCGGACGAGAACGGCAUCCUCCGGACGGAGCUGUUCGACGAGGCGCAGAAGGUCAAGUCCGUGGGCGCCGUGCCGGUGGGCAUUCUGGGCGAGGACGAAGGCACCAAGGAGUCCUUCCUGCAGGCGCCGGCCUGCGACGAGGCCGGGAAGCUGGUGGGCUACCACGUAUCGGAGGAGACGCUGCUGCCGGCGGCGCGGAGCGACAUGCUGCUGUCCACCCGGCUGGAGUGGGCCGGGUUCGUGGUGAACGCGCGGGUGCUCUGGGAGGGCGCGGCGGAGCGGCCCGAGUGGGUGCGCGACCUGGACGCCGUGGACGGCGGCGCGCACCUGGACAGCCCGCUGGCGCUGGUCACCGACGCCGGCCAGGUGGAGCCGCUCGCCAGAUGCGCCCAGGCGGCGCUGGCGUGGUCGCUCCGGUCAGACGCUCUGCAUGAAGUCAAGUUCCCGCAUGAGUGGAAAUUUGAUGCUCCUCUAGUAAGCGCCGCUUCGCGUCAGCAGAGCAGCGUAGUAAAUACUGAAGAUGGUCACUAGAGCAGCAAAAUUUUUGUGGGCAAUAGAAAUCAGGGCAAAAUCAGACUGCUACGGCUCGUCUGAUUUGUGUGAGUCUCCUCUGAUGCAUCCUUGUACCAAGACAUCUCAACUCUUGAGUAACAUAAGGCAGCUCAGCUCAUUUGUUGGGACCCUACAGAAAGUCACAGACCAUACAUCUGAAUCCAUGUUCUGUAUCAUCCUGUAAAAAUAGAUAAAAAAAAGUUUAAUUAUAUGCACCAUUCAUGGCUUCUCUAAUAGGAAGAGUUCUCUUAGGCGCAUUUUUUUCGUGUAAUAUAGGUCAGAGCUGAUGGGCUCGCCAAAUUGGUCUGGGGUUAAGACAUUUGUUUGUGUAAUGGUGUGAAAUAAUAACGAUCCAGCUCUCAGUUUUCUAAUACUCCCUUUGUCCUACAAUGCAAGGCGAUGUUGCAAGUUAUGUUGCUUGCAAAAACGUCUUAUGUUAUGGGAUGGAAGGGGUACUAUAUACAUUUUUUUCUUUUAU